AUGUACCCACACGGCCCUACCGGCGACUACCGACUGUUGCUCUACCUGAAAGCUGAUGCUCAAAGUAGCACCUAUGUCUUCACAUUAGGCUCUGGCCUGCCGCCGAGGCACAUAAGGGGCCCUGACGCCAAGGAAUUGGAAUUGAUAAACUCCCGUGGAUCUCUCCUUUUCCAUGGUAGUUUGCAUUGGCACGCAGACAACCUGAUAAUGGUAUUUGACACCACCGCUGAGUCGUUCCGGCAGAUGCACUCUCCGAUUGUUUCUGGCCAUGUCAUUGCUGGCCUGUUUGAGAUGGGUGACAUGCUUGCCAUGUUCAGCCUUAAUGACGAAGAGACCAUUGUUGAUAUCUGGGUGAUGCGGGACUAUCAAGGCCAAGUCUGGGCCUCCAAAGGCUGGGUUGAAUUUCCCAUUCAAGAGCUCAUGGUGCAAUCUGAAGAUCUUGGUAGCUGCUGGGAAGUGGAGGCCACAUAUUGGGAUGGUGAUCUGCUGGUGCUGGCCAAAUUUGACAACGGCUCGCUACAUCAGGUUGACAUCGCUGGCAAGUUGGUUGACAGUUUCCGUCACAGACUCCUCUGUCCUACCCCACUUCGGCUGAAACAAUCUCUAGUUUCACAUACCUUCUUUCCGGCACUAGAGGGUUAUGUUGUCAAUGCUCCGCCUUUCAUCUGA
Molecule: ribosomal RNA, 669 nt
Filed under: Triticum aestivum (bread wheat)
Lineage: Eukaryota; Viridiplantae; Streptophyta; Magnoliopsida; Poales; Poaceae
Description: partial small subunit ribosomal RNA
Source: RNAcentral